GAUGAACGCUAGCGGCAGGCCUAACACAUGCAAGUCGAGGGAGAAGCCCUUCGGGGCAGAAACCGGCGCACGGGUGCGUAACGCGUAUGCAACCUACCUUUCACAGGGGGAUAGCCCGAAGAAAUUUGGAUUAAUACCCCAUAAUAUUAUUGGAUGGCAUCAUUUGAUAAUUAAAAUUACGAUGGUGAAAGAUGGGCAUGCGUCCUAUUAGCUAGUUGGAGUGGUAACGGCACCCCAAGGCUACGAUAGGUAGGGGUCCUGAGAGGGAGAUCCCCCACACUGGUACUGAGACAGGGACCAGACUCCUACGGGAGGCAGCAGUGAGGAAUAUUGGUCAAUGGUCGGAAGACUGAACCAGCCAUGCCGCGUGCAGGAAGAAUGCCUUAUGGGUUGUAAACUGCUUUUAUAUGGGAAGAAUAAGGAGUACGCGUACUUUGAUGACGGUACCAUAUGAUAG
Molecule: ribosomal RNA, 457 nt
Filed under: Capnocytophaga granulosa
Lineage: Bacteria; Pseudomonadati; Bacteroidota; Flavobacteriia; Flavobacteriales; Flavobacteriaceae
Description: bacterial SSU rRNA
Rfam family: Bacterial small subunit ribosomal RNA
Source: RNAcentral